UGGGGAAUAUUGCGCAAUGGGGGGAACCCUGACGCAGCCAUGCCGCGUGAAUGAAGAAGGCCUUCGGGUUGUAAAGUUCUUUCGGUAUUGAGGAAGGAGUGUAUGUUAAUAGCAUACAUUAUUGACGUUAAAUACAGAAGAAGCACCGGCUAACUCCGUGCCAGCAGCCGCGGUAAUACGGAGGGUGCGAGCGUUAAUCGGAAUAACUGGGCGUAAAGGGCACGCAGGCGGUUAUUUAAGUGAGGUGUGAAAGCCCCGGGCUUAACCUGGGAAUUGCAUUUCAGACUGGGUAACUAGAGUACUUUAGGGAGGGGUAGAAUUCCACGUGUAGCGGUGAAAUGCGUAGAGAUGUGGAGGAAUACCGAAGGCGAAGGCAGCCCCUUGGGAAUGUACUGACGCUCAUGUGCGAAAGCGUGGGGAGCAAACAGGAUUAGAUACCCUGGUAGUCCACGCUGUAAACGCUGUCGAUUUGGGGAUUGGGCUUUAAGCUUGGUGCCCGUAGCUAACGUGAUAAUUCGACCGCCUGGGGAGUACGGCCGCAAGGUUAAAACUCAAAUGAAUUGACGGGGGCCCGCACAAGCGGUGGAGCAUGUGGUUUAAUUCGAUGC
RNAcentral lists this ribosomal RNA (608 nucleotides) under uncultured Haemophilus sp. RNAcentral's name for it is "bacterial SSU rRNA". It matches the Rfam family "Bacterial small subunit ribosomal RNA", at positions 355 to 957 of the family's 1533-position model. The record is from RNAcentral. Lineage: Bacteria; Pseudomonadati; Pseudomonadota; Gammaproteobacteria; Pasteurellales; Pasteurellaceae.